RNAcentral lists this transfer RNA (75 nucleotides) under Caudoviricetes sp. Its description in RNAcentral is "tRNA-Arg". It matches the Rfam family "tRNA". From Rfam's summary of the family: Transfer RNA (tRNA) molecules are approximately 80 nucleotides in length. Their secondary structure includes four short double-helical elements and three loops (D, anti-codon, and T loops). Lineage: Duplodnaviria; Heunggongvirae; Uroviricota; Caudoviricetes. The record is from RNAcentral.
UCGCUUUUAGUUCAAUGGACAGAAUGGGAGACUUCUAAUCUUCUGAUAAUGGUUCAACUCCAUUAAAGCGAACCA